RNAcentral lists this ribosomal RNA (243 nucleotides) under uncultured bacterium. RNAcentral's name for it is "partial 16S ribosomal RNA". It matches the Rfam family "Archaeal small subunit ribosomal RNA", at positions 474 to 718 of the family's 1478-position model. The record is from RNAcentral.
UACCAGCACCCCCGAGUGGUCGGGACGUUUAUUGGCCUAAAGCAUCCGUAGCCGGUUCUACAAGUCUUCCGUUAAAUCCAGCUGCUUAACAGAUGGGCUGCGGAAGAUACUAUGGAGCUAGGAGGCGGGAGAGGCAAGCGGUACUCGAUGGGUAGGGGUAAAAUCCGUUGAUCCAUUGAAGACCACCAGUGGCGAAGGCGGCUGCCAGAACGCGCUCGACGGUGAGGGAUGAAAGCUGGGGGG